CAAAAGCGGCGUUCGACGAAC
RNAcentral lists this unclassified non-coding RNA (21 nucleotides) under Chlamydomonas reinhardtii. RNAcentral describes it as "small RNA Cre_0831". Lineage: Eukaryota; Viridiplantae; Chlorophyta; Chlorophyceae; Chlamydomonadales; Chlamydomonadaceae. The record is from RNAcentral.